This 719-nucleotide ribosomal RNA is filed under the name uncultured bacterium. Its description in RNAcentral is "bacterial SSU rRNA". It matches the Rfam family "Bacterial small subunit ribosomal RNA", at positions 8 to 722 of the family's 1533-position model. The record is from RNAcentral.
AGAGUUUGAUCAUGGCUCAGAUUGAACGCUGGCGGCAUGCCUUACACAUGCAAGUCGAACGGUAACGCGGGGGCAACCCUGGCGACGAGUGGCGGACGGGUGAGUAGCGCAUUGGAACGUGCCCAGUAGUGGGGGAUAGCUCGGCGAAAGCCGGAUUAAUACCGCAUACGACCUACGGGUGAAAGCGGGGGACCGCAAGGCCUCGCGCUAUUGGAGCGGCCGAUGCCCGAUUAGCUAGUUGGUGAGGUAAAGGCUCACCAAGGCAACGAUCGGUAGCUGGUCUGAGAGGACGACCAGCCACACUGGGACUGAGACACGGCCCAGACUCCUACGGGAGGCAGCAGUGGGGAAUUUUGGACAAUGGGGGAAACCCUGAUCCAGCCAUGCCGCGUGCGGGAAGAAGGCCUUCGGGUUGUAAACCGCUUUUGGCAGGAACGAAACGGCGCGCGCCAAUACCGCGCGUUAAUGACGGUACCUGCAGAAUAAGCACCGGCUAACUACGUGCCAGCAGCCGCGGCAAUACGUAGGGUGCAAGCGUUAAUCGGAUUUACUGGGCGUAAAGCGUACGCAGGCGGCUGUGCAAGACAGGUGUGAAAUCCCCGGGCUUAACCUGGGAACUGCAUUUGUGACUGCAUAGCUAGAGUCCGUAAGAGGGGGGUGGAAUUCCACGUGUAGCAGUGAAAUGCGUAGAGAUGUGGAGGAACACCGAUGGCGAAGGC